RNAcentral lists this ribosomal RNA (1340 nucleotides) under uncultured soil bacterium. RNAcentral's name for it is "bacterial SSU rRNA". It matches the Rfam family "Bacterial small subunit ribosomal RNA", at positions 27 to 1380 of the family's 1533-position model. The record is from RNAcentral.
GGACAAACGCUGGCGGCGUGCCUAACACAUGCAAGUCGAACGGUCCCCUUCGGGGGAUAGUGGCGAACGGGUGAGUAACACGUAGGUGACCUGCCCUGUAGUGGGGAAUAACUGCCCGAAAGGGUGGCUAAUACCGCAUGAGUUCUCCUGCGCGGGCAGGAGAAGAAAGCUCCGCAAGGGGCGCUACAGGAGGGGCCUGCGGCGGAUUAGCCAGUUGGCGGGGUAAAGGCCCACCAAGGCGACGAUCCGUAGCUGGUCUGAGAGGACGGCCAGCCACACUGGGACUGAGACACGGCCCAGACUCCUACGGGAGGCAGCAGUGAGGAAUAUUCCGCAAUGGGCGCAAGCCUGACGGAGCGACGCCGCGUGGGGGAAGAAGGCCUUCGGGUUGUAAACCCCUUUUGCACGGGAUGAGAUGCCCCUUUUGGGGCUGGGACAGUACCGUGCGAAUAAGCCUCGGCUAACUACGUGCCAGCAGCCGCGGUAAUACGUAGGAGGCGAGCGUUGUCCGGAUUUACUGGGCGUAAAGAGCGCGCAGGCGGCACUGCAAGUGCUCAGUGAAAUCUCCCUGCUCAACGGGGAGGGUGCUGAGCAGACUGUAGAGCUGGAGGACGGUAGAGGGGGGUGGAAUUGCCGGUGUAGNGGUGAAAUGCGUAGAUAUCGGCAGGAACANNNGUGGCNAAGGCGGCCCCCNNNNNCGAUCCUGACGCUGAGGCGCGAAGGCCGGGGGAGCGAACGGGAUUAGAUACCCCGGUAGUCCCGGCAGUAAACGAUGGCCACCAGGUGUGGGAGGUGUUGACCCCUUCCGUGCCGAAGCCAACGCAUUAAGUGGCCCGCCUGGGGAGUACGGCCGCAAGAUUAAAACUCAAAGGAAUUGACGGGGACCCGCACAAGCGGUGGAUGAUGUGGAUUAAUUCGAUGCAACGCGAAAAACCUUACCUACCCUUGACAUGUCCAGAAUCCUGCAGAGAUGCGGGAGUGCCCGAAAGGGAAUUGGAACACAGGUGCUGCAUGGCUGUCGUCAGCUCGUGUCGUGAGAUGUUGGGUUAAGUCCCGCAACGAGCGCAACCCUUAUCAUUAGUUGCUACGCAAGGGCACUCUAAUGAGACUGCCGGUGACAAACCGGAGGAAGGUGGGGAUGACGUCAAGUCCUCAUGGCCCUUAUGGGUAGGGCUUCACACGUCAUACAAUGGUCGGCACAGAGGGUUGCCAAGCCGCGAGGUGGAGCCAAUCCCAGAAAGCCGAUCGUAGUCCGGAUUGUUCUCUGCAACUCGAGAGCAUGAAGUCGGAAUCGCUAGUAAUCGCGGAUCAGCAUGUCGCGGUGAAUACGUUCCCGGGUC